Molecule: ribosomal RNA, 253 nt
Filed under: uncultured bacterium
Lineage: Bacteria
Description: partial 16S ribosomal RNA
Rfam family: Bacterial small subunit ribosomal RNA
Source: RNAcentral
UACGGGGGGGGUAAGCGUUGUGCGGAAUUAUUGGGCGUAAAGGGCUCGUAGGCGGUUUGUCGCGUCGGGAGUGAAAUCCACUGGCUUAACUGGUGGCUUGCUUUCGAUACGGGCAGACUGGAGGUAUGCAGGGGAGAACGGAAUUCCUGGUGUAGCGGUGAAAUGCGCAGAUAUCAGGAGGAACACCGGUGGCGAAGGCGGUUCUCUGGGCAUGUCCUGACGCUGAGGAGCGAAAGUGUGGGGAGCGAACAGG